This is a long non-coding RNA of Agrilus planipennis (emerald ash borer), 931 nucleotides long. RefSeq lists it as uncharacterized. NCBI's taxonomy places the organism in Eukaryota, Metazoa, Arthropoda, Insecta, Coleoptera, Buprestidae. The transcript has 2 exons. The record is from RefSeq and is a predicted model, not a curated record.
CGUAGCCCCUUUGUUUUCCUAACAGACUCUUGGUCCAAAUAGUAUCUUCAUCCAGUGAAAAGAUUGGCUACUCCUUCCUAUUCUGAGCCAGUUUUGGCAUUUUAUUAUGUCUGCUUCUCUUUAAUGCUUUACUCCACUUGCUGCUUCUAGUAUGUCUAUAACUAGCCCUUCAUGAUUUAGAAGGUGUCCUACUAUCCUAUCUUGUUGUUUAUUUAUUUCCGUAGCCCCUUUGUUUUCCUAACAGACUCUUGGUCCAAAUAGUAUCUUCAUCCAGUGAAAAGAUUGGCUACUCCUUCCUAUUCUGAGCCAGUUUUGGCAUUUUAUUAUGUCUGCUUCUCGUUAAUGUUUUACUCCUAUUGAGGCUUCUAAUAUAUCUCUUACUAGCUCUUCAUGCCCUGGAAAGUGUUCUAGUUUCCUAUCUUGUUGUUUUUUUAUUUAUUUACUCCAAAUAUACGCGAGCACAGAAGUGAUUUUUUUCAACUCUAAUCUUAGCUUCACCUUUCUCACAUACCAACAUUGAGGAUGAUCAUUUGAAGGAUGUCCCUCCUCAGAACAAUGGGACACGUACAAACUGUAAAUAUAAUUUUUAUUUUAGUUAUUGCAUCAUGAAUCCUGGCUUACUGAAAGUAUACGUCAAUAAAAACUCCCUUAUGUCAAAUGAUGUUGGAAAACGAGAAAUAUAAUAAAUAUUAAGUGUCAUGGAACAAUUAAUCUAUCUGUCUAUCUGUAAAUCCCAUCCCCACAACCUACAGUAAAAAAAAUAAUAAAAACAAAAAAAGUUAUUAAAUGUAAUAGUGUUGGGAUCGAUGUAACUGGUAAAAUAAUUUUUAGUUAUCUUUAAUACAAGUACAAAUACGUAUAUUAGUUGAUAAGAUUUAUUUUUGGGACAAGUAUACUACGGUCUAAUGAUCAUAAAUAUUGCCAUACAAAA